AGAGUUUGAUCAUGGCUCAGAUUGAACGCUGGCGGCAGGCCUAACACAUGCAAGUCGAGCGGUAGCACAGAGAGCUUGCUCUCGGGUGACGAGCGGCGGACGGGUGAGUAAUGUCUGGGAAACUGCCUGAUGGAGGGGGAUAACUACUGGAAACGGUAGCUAAUACCGCAUAACGUCGCAAGACCAAAGUGGGGGACCUUCGGGCCUCAUGCCAUCAGAUGUGCCCAGAUGGGAUUAGCUAGUAGGUGGGGUAACGGCUCACCUAGGCGACGAUCCCUAGCUGGUCUGAGAGGAUGACCAGCCACACUGGAACUGAGACACGGUCCAGACUCCUACGGGAGGCAGCAGUGGGGAAUAUUGCACAAUGGGCGCAAGCCUGAUGCAGCCAUGCCGCGUGUGUGAAGAAGGCCUUCGGGUUGUAAAGCACUUUCAGCGGGGAGGAAGGCGNUAAGGUUAAUAACCUCAUCGAUUGACGUUACCCGCAGAAGAAGCACCGGCUAACUCCGUGCCAGCAGCCGCGGUAAUACGGAGGGUGCAAGCGUUAAUCGGAAUUACUGGGCGUAAAGCGCACGCAGGCGGUCUGUCAAGUCGGAUGUGAAAUCCCCGGGCUCAACCUGGGAACUGCAUUCGAAACUGGCAGGCUAGAGUCUUGUAGAGGGGGGUAGAAUUCCAGGUGUAGCGGUGAAAUGCGUAGAGAUCUGGAGGAAUACCGGUGGCGAAGGCGGCCCCCUGGACAAAGACUGACGCUCAGGUGCGAAAGCGUGGGGAGCAAACAGGAUUAGAUACCCUGGUAGUCCACGCCGUAAACGAUGUCGAUUUGGAGGUUGUGCCCUUGAGGCGUGGCUUCCGGAGCUAACGCGUUAAAUCGACCGCCUGGGGAGUACGGCCGCAAGGUUAAAACUCAAAUGAAUUGACGGGGGCCCGCACAAGCGGUGGAGCAUGUGGUUUAAUUCGAUGCAACGCGAAGAACCUUACCUGGUCUUGACAUCCACAGAACUUUCCAGAGAUGGAUUGGUGCCUUCGGGAACUGUGAGACAGGUGCUGCAUGGCUGUCGUCAGCUCGUGUUGUGAAAUGUUGGGUUAAGUCCCGCAACGAGCGCAACCCUUAUCCUUUGUUGCCAGCGGUUCGGCCGGGAACUCAAAGGAGACUGCCAGUGAUAAACUGGAGGAAGGUGGGGAUGACGUCAAGUCAUCAUGGCCCUUACGACCAGGGCUACACACGUGCUACAAUGGCAUAUACAAAGAGAAGCGACCUCGCGAGAGCAAGCGGACCUCAUAAAGUAUGUCGUAGUCCGGAUUGGAGUCUGCAACUCGACUCCAUGAAGUCGGAAUCGCUAGUAAUCGUAGAUCAGAAUGCUACGGUGAAUACGUUCCCGGGCCUUGUACACACCGCCCGUCACACCAUGGGAGUGGGUUGCAAAAGAAGUAGGUAGCUUAACCUUCGGGAGGGCGCUUACCACUUUGUGAUUCAUGACUGGGGUGAAGUCGUAACAAGGUAACCGUAGGGGAACCUGCGGUUGGAUCACCU
This 1528-nucleotide ribosomal RNA is filed under the name Klebsiella pneumoniae. RNAcentral describes it as "bacterial SSU rRNA". It matches the Rfam family "Bacterial small subunit ribosomal RNA". The record is from RNAcentral. Lineage: Bacteria; Pseudomonadati; Pseudomonadota; Gammaproteobacteria; Enterobacterales; Enterobacteriaceae.